RNAcentral lists this non-coding RNA (31 nucleotides) under Homo sapiens (human). Lineage: Eukaryota; Metazoa; Chordata; Mammalia; Primates; Hominidae. The record is from RNAcentral.
UCCAAUGUGGAGAGUGCCCUGAAAUUCUGGA